CUUUCUUAACUGUCCCUGUGGACAGAGAUCACACAAGCUCAGUCUGCUCAAUCUGCUCCAGGAAAAGAUAGGAUGAAAAUUUACAAUUAUCAGAAACAAUAUUCUCAACACUCAGACAGGAUCAAGAGAUCAGAGAAGAAAAGAGAUGGACUGGUUUCAAGAAGGUGGAAAAAAUUCCUUCUUUUUGGAGGAAAAAUGAGGGAGGAACAUGUAUAAAGCUCUUCGGACAUCAAUAAAAGUUAAAAAGUGCCUGUUC
Molecule: long non-coding RNA, 256 nt
Organism: Pseudopipra pipra
Lineage: Eukaryota; Metazoa; Chordata; Aves; Passeriformes; Pipridae
Exons: 3
Source: RefSeq, a predicted model, not a curated record